Molecule: ribosomal RNA, 1365 nt
Filed under: metagenome
Description: bacterial LSU rRNA
Rfam family: Bacterial large subunit ribosomal RNA
Source: RNAcentral
GGUAUAAGGCGAAUGCGUGAAGCGUAGCGAACUUAAAAGUAGCGAAGCGUGUGGAGUCACUGUCAGGAAAAGCCGCUAUUGCGUAUCAUGAACCCGUACCGUAAACCGACACAGGUGGAUGAGGAGAGAAUCCUAAGGCCGACGGAAGAAGCAUUGUUAAGGAAUUCGGCAAAAUGACCCCGUAACUUCGGGAGAAGGGGUGCCUACGAAUGUAGGCCGCAGAGAAUUGGCCCAAGCAACUGUUUAGCAAAAACACAGGUUUAUGCGAAACCGAAAGGUGAAGUAUAUGAGCUGACGCCUGGCCGGUGCUGGAAGGUUAAGGGGAGAGCUUAGAGGCAACUCGAAGGUUCGAACUUAAGCCCCAGUAAACGGCGGCCGUAACAAUAACGGUCCUAAGGUAGCGAAAUUCCUUGUCGGGUAAGUUCCGACCCGCACGAAAGGCGUAAUGAUUUGGGCACUGUCUCGACAAUGCAUCCGGUGAAAUUGAAAUACCAGUGAAGAUGCUGGUUACCCGCGCCAGGACGGAAAGACCCCAUGGAGCUUUACUCCAGUUUGAUGCUGGGAUUCGGUACUGCAUGUACAGGAUAGGCGGGAGACUAGGAAGAUAUAACGCCAGUUGUAUCAGAGUCGCUGUUGGGAUACCGCCCUUGUAGUACUGGGUUUCUAACCUGCCACCGUGAACCGGUGGAGGGACAACGUCAGGCGGGGAGUUUGACUGGGGCGGUCGCCUCCGAAAGGGUAUCGGAGGCGCUCAAAGGUUCCCUCAGAAUGGUUGGAAACCAUUCGAAGAGUGCAAAGGCAGAAGGGAGCUUGACUGCGAGGUCGACGGACCGAGCAGGUACGAAAGUAGGACUUAGUGAUCCGGUGGUAGAAAGUGGGAUUGCCAUCGCUCAACGGAUAAAAGCUACCCUGGGAUAACAGGCUAAUCACUCCCAAGAGUUCACAUCGACGGAGUGGUUUGGCACCUCGAUGUCGGCUCAUCGCAUCCUGGGGCUGUAGCAGGUCCCAAGGGUUGGGCUGUUCGCCCAUUAAAUCGGUACGCGAGCUGGGUUCAGAACGUCGUGAGACAGUUCGGUCCCUAUCCGGCGCGGGCGUAGGAUAUCUGAAAGGAGCUGGCCUUAGUACGAGAGGACCGGGCUGGACGGACCGCUGGUGUAUCUGUUGUCAUACCAAUGGCAUAGCAGGGUAGCCAAGUCUGGAAGGGAUAAACGCUGAAGGCAUCUAAGCGUGAAGCCCCCCUUAAGAUAAGAUAUCCCUGGAGUUAAUCCAGUAAGACCCCUUGAAGACGACGAGGUAGAUAGGGCAGAGGUGGAAGUGUGGUAACACAUGGAGCUGACUGUCACUAAUAGGUCGAGGGCUUGACCG